Non-coding RNA from Cajanus cajan (pigeon pea), 531 nucleotides. The record is from RefSeq and is a predicted model, not a curated record. NCBI's taxonomy places the organism in Eukaryota, Viridiplantae, Streptophyta, Magnoliopsida, Fabales, Fabaceae.
CUCCUUUGCGAGAAGUAGCGUCAUUCAUCCAGCUCAAAAGUAUACCUUAUAACUCCAUCUUCUUCAUCUAGUCAUGUUAAUGGAGACAAUAAUGGAAACAAAAUCUUGAUACUCCCAGAAGGGGAUGGGUUUGAUCAACACAAGUUGGUAAUUGGGGCACUUGCUUCAAUCAUACGAAGUAACUUGGGGGAGGCAAAACCAUCAUGGAAGAAGCUAUCUAUCGGUCAAAGGGAUUCGUGGUUUGAUAUGCUUCAAUCAAAAUUUACAUGGCCACCUGAAUAUAAUGACAUGGUGCGACGUAAUUUUGAGAAAAGAGGUGCAGCUAAAAUGUCUCAAUUAAUGCAAGAAGUUCGAAAGGAUUUAGAGAGAAAACCAAUUUGGAUAGGAGAAGAUGUAUGGGCACACUUGAAGGAACACUGGAGAUCCUUACGUUUUAAGAAAAAGUCAGAAGUAAAUAAAAGAAAUCGUGAAUCUGUGAAUGGUGCAUCUCUUCAUACCGGUGGAUCAAUUCCUCACCGUUUGCAUUGGAAA